Molecule: ribosomal RNA, 254 nt
Filed under: uncultured bacterium
Lineage: Bacteria
Description: partial 16S ribosomal RNA
Rfam family: Bacterial small subunit ribosomal RNA
Source: RNAcentral
UACAGAGGUCUCAAGCGUUGUUCGGAUUCAUUGGGCGUAAAGGGUGUGUAGGUGGCGCGCUAAGUCGGGUGUGAAAUUUCGGAGCUUAACUCCGAAACUGCAUUCGAUACUGCCGUGCUUGAGGACUGGAGAGGAGACUGGAAUUUACGGUGUAGCGGUGAAAUGCGUAGAUAUCGUAAGGAAGACCAGUGGCGAAGGCGGGUCUCUGGACAGUUCCUGGACGCUGAGGCACGAAGGCCAGGGGAGCAAACGGG